GGUCUCGUCGCCUAGUGGCUGGGCAGGGCUCUGCAAAAGCCCCUACAGCGGUUCGAAUCCGCUCGAGACCUC
RNAcentral lists this transfer RNA (72 nucleotides) under Chlorobiota bacterium. RNAcentral describes it as "tRNA-Cys". It matches the Rfam family "tRNA". From Rfam's summary of the family: Transfer RNA (tRNA) molecules are approximately 80 nucleotides in length. Their secondary structure includes four short double-helical elements and three loops (D, anti-codon, and T loops). Lineage: Bacteria; Pseudomonadati; Chlorobiota. The record is from RNAcentral.